GCUUCCUGUAACCUUCCUCUUGUUCCUCAGAUCUUCCAUAGCUAGGCUUCCUGUAGCCUUCCUCUUGAUCCUCAGAUCUUCCAUAGCUAGGCUUCCUGUAACUUCCUUCUUCCUGAUCCUCAGAUCUUCCAUAGCUAGGUUUCUUGUAACCUUCCUCUUGUUCCUCAGACCUUCCAUAGCUAGGCUUCCUGUAACCUUCUUCUUGUUCCUCAGACCUACCAUAGCUAGGCUUACGCUCAUACUCAGACUCUGAUCUGCCACCAUAUCCAGAUCCAAGACCCGAUUCAGGUCUCCUCCCAUACUCAACCUCAGUUCUUCCACCACCAGAUCCAUACUCCGAUUGAUUCUCCGUUCUACCACCAUAACUCUGCUCAGGUCUCCGACCAUACUCCGUCUCAGUUUCACCACCAUAUCCAGAUUCAGGCCUCCUACCAUACUCACUCUCCGUCUGACCACCAUAACCAGAUCCAGAUCCAUAACCAGGAUUCGGCCUCUCACCUUGAACAUGACCGCCACCACCUGAAUCGGGUCGAAAUGCGG
RNAcentral lists this long non-coding RNA (540 nucleotides) under Capsella grandiflora. RNAcentral describes it as "long non-coding RNA (CGRA_LNC001548)". Lineage: Eukaryota; Viridiplantae; Streptophyta; Magnoliopsida; Brassicales; Brassicaceae. The record is from RNAcentral.